CUUUGCGUAGCUUAGGGGUUAGAGCAUUCGACUCUCGUUUGAAAGUGAACGGGUUCAAAUCCCAGUAGGGU
Molecule: non-coding RNA, 71 nt
Organism: Drosophila melanogaster (fruit fly)
Lineage: Eukaryota; Metazoa; Arthropoda; Insecta; Diptera; Drosophilidae
Source: the annotation of a RefSeq genome assembly